Molecule: transfer RNA, 87 nt
Filed under: Desulfobulbus propionicus
Lineage: Bacteria; Pseudomonadati; Thermodesulfobacteriota; Desulfobulbia; Desulfobulbales; Desulfobulbaceae
Also listed under: 1 other name
Description: tRNA-Leu
Rfam family: tRNA
About the family: Transfer RNA (tRNA) molecules are approximately 80 nucleotides in length. Their secondary structure includes four short double-helical elements and three loops (D, anti-codon, and T loops).
Source: RNAcentral
GCCGGAGUGGUGAAACUGGUAGACGCACUGGACUCAAAAUCCAGCGGAGGCAACUCCGUGUCGGUUCGACUCCGACCUCCGGCACCA